RNAcentral lists this ribosomal RNA (508 nucleotides) under uncultured bacterium. RNAcentral describes it as "partial 16S ribosomal RNA". It matches the Rfam family "Bacterial small subunit ribosomal RNA", at positions 29 to 523 of the family's 1533-position model. The record is from RNAcentral.
AUUGAACGCUGGCGGCAUGCCUUACACAUGCAAGUCGAACGGCAGCGGGGGAGAAGCUUGCUUUUCCUGCCGGCGAGUGGCGAACGGGUGAGCAAUACAUCGGAACGUGCCCUGUAGCGGGGGAUAACUAGUCGAAAGAUUCGCUAAUACCGCAUACGACCUGAGGGUGAAAGGGGGUGACCGCAAGGCCUCACGCAGCAGGAGCGGCCGAUGUCUGAUUAGCUAGUUGGUGGGGUAAAGGCCCACCAAGGCGACGAUCAGUAGCUGGUCUGAGAGGACGAUCAGCCACACUGGGACUGAGACACGGCCCAGACUCCUACGGGAGGCAGCAGUGGGGAAUUUUGGACAAUGGGGGCAACCCUGAUCCAGCAAUGCCGCGUGUGUGAAGAAGGCCUUCGGGUUGUAAAGCACUUUUGUCCGGAAAGAAAUCGCGCUGGUUAAUACCUGGCGUGGAUGACGGUACCGGAAGAAUAAGCACCGGCUAACUACGUGCCAGCAGCCGCAGUAA